Vespa mandarinia (Asian giant hornet) is the source of this 548-nucleotide long non-coding RNA. NCBI's taxonomy places the organism in Eukaryota, Metazoa, Arthropoda, Insecta, Hymenoptera, Vespidae. The record is from RefSeq and is a predicted model, not a curated record.
GUCGCAUGAUGCAAUCGCCGUGUAAAACUAUCAUUAUAGGUUCCCGGAAAACCUACGAGAUUCGUUUCUGAAUGAACCUGCCGAUCAACGUUGGAAACUGGACAAUUCUGGAUAUGGAUACUCUCGUUGACAUCUUGAACCAUUACGAGUUGAAGGACUGGAUUUGCCAUCUGUCUUUCUUUUACUCAUUCUGCAAAAGGCUUUAUCGAGGACAUAUAAAUGGGCAAUAAUGAUCGUUGGUCCGUCUUAACGACCUUCGAAGGCCACGAAGGAAAGAAAGGAGGAAGAGAGGGAAGAAAACGGGAGGCAAUGAAGGAAUUCAGCGUCAUGACGUUAACACGAUCAACACGAAAGAUAGGAACAGCAGACGGUAUAUACAACGACGACGGUAACGACGGCGAUGUCGAUGGCGACGGCGACAGCGACGGCGACGGCGACGAUGACAACGACGACGACGACGACGACGACGACGGCGACGACCAUGUCCGUCGUCUUUAGAUUCGUUGUAAAUCCUCUUGAGCUAGGGUAGAGAACAGGACAUGUCGGUG